UCUGGAUUAAUAUAGUGUACGUGUGUAUCAACGCCACCUGCUGUUACGAUUUGUCCUUCAGCAGACAUAACCUCUGUCGCUGUUCCAACUACCAUAUUAGGCGUUACACCACCCAUCGUAUCUGGGUUACCACCUUUACCAAUACCGACGAUAUAACCAUCUUUUACUCCAAUAUCAGCUUUAUAAAUACCUGUGUAAUCAAGGAUUAAAGCGUUAGUAAUUAGUAAGUCAAGAACAUUCUCUGCACGUGUACGAAUACCGUCUUGUCCCAUACCCUCACG
This 281-nucleotide small RNA is filed under the name pig gut metagenome. RNAcentral describes it as "5' ureB small RNA". It matches the Rfam family "5' ureB small RNA". The record is from RNAcentral.